CAGAGCCACCUUCCUCCCCCACCAAUUGCCAGGUCCUGGGCCAGUGGAAUCUUGGACUGGGCGGGUGCAGGGGUCUGAGCCCACAUCUGAGAAGUAUCACUAAGGGCCUGCACGGGCCCUGCCCUUUCUCAGCUGGACUAAGCCUCCCUCACUCAGGGUGGGGGCUGCGCGGUUUUAAUUCACGGACACUUCCUGCGGGCGUAAUGCCAAAGGAGGCAACUGCGCUCAAGUCCAGACCAGAAACAGAGCCGAACCGUCCCCGGAACAGACAGGCGAGAGAAUCCCGGCUGGAGUGGACUGGGGUGGGAAGGACUCCGCAGUGAGCGGCCGCCAGGGAACGGGGAGGGGAAGCUGGGGACACUGCGGGCGCGCGUGCAGAGGAGCCCCGCCCCGGGAGCCCUCCCUCCUUCCCCGCGGGCGCGGGGUUGGGGCGCGCCAGGCUGCUGCGGCGCGAACCUGCUCGCGCAAACCGGAGCAGCUCCAGGCAGCGUAAUACCCCUCCUCAAGCCUCAUCAGUCCUAGCUUCCUCCCCCCGGGGGCAGAGGAUUCUAGGUGAAAAUGUGAUCAGUUUCACUCAGCCCAGACCUUUUGAAGCCCUUCUGGAAAUAGGUUCUGGGAGCAUCACCCCCCUUCCGGAAGGAGCCAUGACUGUCACACGUGUACGUGGGCAUCUAGCAUUUCUCAGAAGCUCCCAGUGCAAGCUUGAUCACAGGAGCUGCCUUACAGGCCACAUCGGCCCUCAAAAAACAACAUGCUGACCAACAUGCAGAAGAACUA
This is a long non-coding RNA of Enhydra lutris kenyoni (northern sea otter), 777 nucleotides long. RefSeq lists it as uncharacterized. The record is from RefSeq and is a predicted model, not a curated record. The transcript has 3 exons. Lineage: Eukaryota; Metazoa; Chordata; Mammalia; Carnivora; Mustelidae.